This 254-nucleotide ribosomal RNA is filed under the name uncultured bacterium. RNAcentral describes it as "partial 16S ribosomal RNA". It matches the Rfam family "Bacterial small subunit ribosomal RNA", at positions 524 to 776 of the family's 1533-position model. The record is from RNAcentral.
GACAGAGGGUGCAAACGUUGUUCGGAAUUACUGGGCGUAAAGACGAGUGUAGGCGGUCUCCUAAGUCGGGUGUGAAAGCCCACGGCUCAACCGUGGAGGGUCAUUGGAAACUGGGGAACUUGAGUACAGAAGAGGAAAGCGGAAUUCCACGUGUAGCGGUGAAAUGCGUAGAGAUGUGGAGGAACACCAGUGGCGAAGGCGGCUUCUGGUCUGUAACUGACGCUGAGGCGCGAAAGCGUGGGGGAGCAAACAGG